RNAcentral lists this long non-coding RNA (483 nucleotides) under Oryza sativa Indica Group (long-grained rice). RNAcentral describes it as "lncRNA OsIR64_03g0021280". The record is from RNAcentral. Lineage: Eukaryota; Viridiplantae; Streptophyta; Magnoliopsida; Poales; Poaceae.
CCGAGCGGAGACGAAGCCGGCCGGGAGGAAGGGGUCGUCGUCGUCGUUUCCGGCGGCCGAGGAGGACGACGACGGCACUACGUCGGCGAGGUCGGCCAACCCUCGGCGGGGUUGCCCUCGAGCUCGCCUCCCCUUGCUGUGCCGCUCUGGCUCGCCACCCUCGUCGGUCGGGUGUGCGCCGAGGAGUCGUCGCCCCGGGGAGGGCAGAAGUGGGAGCUCCCCUCGUCCUCGCCCUCGGCCUCUGCGUCACCGUCGUCCCCGCUGCGGCCUGCCACUUUUGCGCCUCCGGGAUGGACACCGGCAGCCCGCGUUGACCUGCAACAGGUAUGGCCGUCAACCUCCUCCUCGAGACUUCUCGCGCUCUCUGGCUCGGGCCUCGUCCCUCAUCUCGCUAGAAACGUGGAACGAUCUCCCUCUCCCGAACGAGACCCUCCUUAUUGGGUCAGAUCUAUCCACAGUGCGUGCGGAACUGUAAGUCUGUAA